This 1102-nucleotide small RNA is filed under the name Histoplasma capsulatum. RNAcentral describes it as "hypothetical RNA". Lineage: Eukaryota; Fungi; Ascomycota; Eurotiomycetes; Onygenales; Ajellomycetaceae. The record is from RNAcentral. RNAcentral also lists the same sequence under 1 other name.
GAAAACCCACUCACUCCCCUUCCCCUCCACCCGAUUUUGAUUUUUUAUUUUUUUUGGCUCAAAGUUUUCCGGGAUCCUGAGCCUCGAAUCUCGUCGCUGACGACUAUCCUCACAUUGUCUGCCACGUAAGUAUUAAUUUCGACAACUCGAGACGAGUGAAAUCUGAAAUCUGGGCUUCGGGGAAAGAAAUCGUCCCGCUUUGUCCGACAAAAGUAAACCCUUCGAGCGGCAAGUACCAACAAAUGAAUGGUCCGACAAACUCGGGUAUGAGAUAUCUAUCAGGCAAUUUCUUGAAAGAACUUCCAAGAUGAGAACGGUCUCACAUCAUUUUUUUUUUGAUUUCCGCGGGCUUUAAGAAGAAGAACCCUGUUCAACGCAACCUGUCAUGUCAGCGCUUUUUGCGAGAGAGGAACAUGUUUGGUGUUUUUGAGCAUCCGCGAACGAACCGAAAUACCUCCCAGAUAAGAUUUGUAACUCCUUGAAAACGCCACGGUGGGGGAGGACGAUAUUAAUUGCUGAUGCACAAGUGCCCCUCCUACCUGAUGUCAUUGGAUGCGCGAAGGAAAAGCCCGUGAAACCCGCAUCGCAUUGCGCUGUCGACGAUAGUGAGGGAAGUCGUCUUGUGUGGCUUGGGGUGGAGUGGUGGGCGGAUGUGUCAAAUGUUUUAAGUCAGGCGGGAAUGGACAUCACAUAUGUGCUACGUGUUUGGAAGGCCAUUUUCAAUGAUGGCCGACCUUGAUGCGAUUGGCUGGAUAGCCCUCCAUGGAUACAGACCCUAACACAUGGGACAUGAUGCAAUUUUCUCCAGCAUGUUCAGGGCUUUAGCUUGAGAUUCCAACCGGCAAAAACUGCCUUCUUUAAAAUUACAUGUACUAGUCACCGCUCGGGGUUGGAGGGUGACAAUCGCUUAGGGUAUCGGUAACAGUAUCUCAACACAUCUCCUGUGUAGCUGAUGCAUUUUAGAGUUGUCAACGAUUUGCUCACUACAGAUGUAUGGACAUCAGAAUUGGGUUUAUCUGAUCCGGGACGAACAAAGAUGUUGGGUAUUGGUCCUGUGGCAAGACCCAGGUGGUACCACGGAACCCAGAAAAAAAGAAAAAAA